UGGGGAAUCUUGGACAAUGGGGGCAACCCUGAUCCAGCCAUGCCGCGUGAGUGAUGAAGGCCUUAGGGUCGUAAAGCUCUUUCGCCUGUGAAGAUAAUGACGGUAGCAGGUAAAGAAACCCCGGCUAACUCCGUGCCAGCAGCCGCGGUAAUACGGAGGGGGUUAGCGUUGUUCGGAAUUACUGGGCGUAAAGCGCACGUAGGCGGACCAGAAAGUUGGGGGUGAAAUCCCGGGGGCUCAACCCCGGAACUGCCUCCAAAACUAUUGGUCUAGAGUUCGAGAGAGGUGAGUGGAAUUCCAAGUGUAGAGGUGAAAUUCGUAGAUAUUUGGAGGAACACCAGUGGCGAAGGCGGCUCACUGGCUCGAUACUGACGCUGAGGUGCGAAAGUGUGGGGAGCAAACAGGAUUAGAUACCCUGGUAGUCCACACCGUAAAACGAUGAAUGCCAGUCGUCGGGUAGCAUGCUAUUCGGUGACACACCUAACGGAUUAAGCAUUCCGGCCUGGGGAGUACGG
This 515-nucleotide ribosomal RNA is filed under the name uncultured bacterium. RNAcentral describes it as "bacterial SSU rRNA". It matches the Rfam family "Bacterial small subunit ribosomal RNA", at positions 355 to 885 of the family's 1533-position model. The record is from RNAcentral.